AAGUUACCCCCUCCGUCCGGAAUUACUUUUCACAUAAAUGGAUAAAAAUGGAUGUAUCUAAAACUAAAAUACAUCUAGAUACAUCAGUUCCUAUAACAGAUAUUUUCGGACGGAGGGAGUAUAUA
Molecule: non-coding RNA, 125 nt
Organism: Hordeum vulgare subsp. vulgare (domesticated barley)
Lineage: Eukaryota; Viridiplantae; Streptophyta; Magnoliopsida; Poales; Poaceae
Source: Rfam